ACGGGUAUUCUUGGGUACAUAAUA
RNAcentral lists this microRNA (24 nucleotides) under Ornithorhynchus anatinus (platypus). RNAcentral describes it as "oan-miR-137b-5p". Its record names the gene oan-miR-137b-5p. The record is from miRBase by way of RNAcentral. Lineage: Eukaryota; Metazoa; Chordata; Mammalia; Monotremata; Ornithorhynchidae.